GAUGAACGCUGGCGGCGUGCCUAAUACAUGCAAGUCGAGCGAACGGACGAGAAGCUUGCUUCUCUGAUGUUAGCGGCGGACGGGUGAGUAACACGUGGAUAACCUACCUAUAAGACUGGGAUAACUUCGGGAAACCGGAGCUAAUACCGGAUAAUAUUUUGAACCGCAUGGUUCAAAAGUGAAAGACGGUCUUGCUGUCACUUAUAGAUGGAUCCGCGCUGCAUUAGCUAGUUGGUAAGGUAACGGCUUACCAAGGCAACGAUGCAUAGCCGACCUGAGAGGGUGAUCGGCCACACUGGAACUGAGAAACGGUCCAGACUCCUACGGGAGGCAGCAGUAGGGAAUCUUCCGCAAUGGGCGAAAGCCUGACGGAGCAACGCCGCGUGAGUGAUGAAGGUCUUCUGAUCGUAAAACUCUGUUAUUAGGGAAGAACAUAUGUGUAAGUAACUGUGCACAUCUUGACGGUACCUAAUCAGAAAGCCACGGCUAACUACGUG
This 497-nucleotide ribosomal RNA is filed under the name uncultured bacterium. RNAcentral's name for it is "partial 16S ribosomal RNA". It matches the Rfam family "Bacterial small subunit ribosomal RNA", at positions 28 to 507 of the family's 1533-position model. The record is from RNAcentral.